RNAcentral lists this ribosomal RNA (439 nucleotides) under uncultured bacterium. RNAcentral's name for it is "partial 16S ribosomal RNA". It matches the Rfam family "Bacterial small subunit ribosomal RNA", at positions 339 to 795 of the family's 1533-position model. The record is from RNAcentral.
CUACGGGGGGCUCCAGUAGGGAAUCUUAGACAAUGGGGGAAACCCUGAUCUAGCCAUGCCGCGUGAGUGAUGAAGGCCUUAGGGUUGUAAAGCUCUUUCGCUGGGGAAGAUAAUGACGGUACCCAGUAAAGAAACCCCGGCUAACUCCGUGCCAGCAGCCGCGGUAAUACGGAGGGGGUUAGCGUUGUUCGGAAUUACUGGGCGUAAAGCGCGCGUAGGCGGGCUAUUAAGUCAGGGGUGAAAUCCCGGGGCUCAACCCCGGAACUGCCUUUGAUACUGGUAGUCUUGAGUUCGAGCGAGGUGAGUGGAAUUCCGAGUGUAGAGGUGAAAUUCGUAGAUAUUCGGAGGAACAUCAGUGGCGAAGGCGACUCACUGGCUCGAUACUGACGCUGAGGUGCGAAAGUGUGGGGAGCAAACAGGAUUAGAUACCCUGGUAGUC